This is a long non-coding RNA of Erigeron canadensis, 1153 nucleotides long. RefSeq lists it as uncharacterized. The record is from RefSeq and is a predicted model, not a curated record. The transcript is spliced from 4 exons. Lineage: Eukaryota; Viridiplantae; Streptophyta; Magnoliopsida; Asterales; Asteraceae.
AGCCAUUUGUAAAAUAGAUUAGAUGGAUAGCCCUCAAGUGACAUAAUGUUGACCUAACGUUGCAUGUAAUUCUUGCCUUACCGCUUUCAUUGCAUAUUGUAUAGGACUCUCAGUUCAACUAAACUUUAUAUACAAACAUAAAUGUCAACUUUUGUUAAAUUUGUAUAUCAUUUACUUUUAAAAAGGUGCAAUAAACCUUUGUAAACAUAUUGAGUUAAAUUUGUGUGCAGGUUGCAUUCGACAACAGUUGUCGGAUGGUCGAUUUACCACGGGAAGCCAACGACCGGGGUAAAUCUUACUUUUUAAUGUUAUAAACCUUUAUAUAUUUAUAUAUUCUUACUCCUUUCUGAACGAGCUAUCAAGAAAUCCUUCACAAAGCUGGACGAGUCCUUUACUUCACGGAGUGUUGCUCUUCUUAUCAAAGAGCUGCAGUUCCCGGUUAAAGUUGAUAAAGCUAUUAGGGAUGAGUUUGCUGGAAUACUCCAGGAUUAUUUGGAUGCAAUGAAUUUAGAUGAGGAAAGUGACAAGUAAAAAUUUGUCGCCGAGUAUCUCAUACCUCCCUCUGGAUUAAGAGAUAUAUAGGGAGCCUAACCACAACUAUUGUGCCUAGUUUUGAUGCCUUGAUGAUUCUCUUGAAAGCUCGGGACAUGUUUAAUAUCGUGUCGAAGGUCCCAAAACAAGGCAAAAUUCUUGGGCUUGACGUCGGAUAUAAUGAAUAUAAGACAAUAAAUUCAGGAAUACCCAUAAACCUAUAUGAACAAGGAAACUCUAAUUUAUCGAAGCUUCGAGUAUGUAGGAGGUGGUGUUUUGGUGGAAUGUAUUGUUUGUGGGAGAUAUGGUGAUAACACGAGAUGGGGUCACGGAGUCUGAAACUUCGACUCUUUACUGGUUCACUUUUUGCACUUUGGGUUAGAAAUUUUGAUCUUUGUGAUUGAAAGAUGUACUGUGAAUUUGAUCUAAAUUGUAGUUAUUUUUUGGUGCAAAGUUUUGUUUAAAGUGAAUUGUAAUACUAGUAGUAUAUUGUUAAUUGUAUAUGUUGCUUGUAUAGUGUCACUGCCCUGUUUGGGUGAAUAGGUCCUGCCACUAUUGUGAUUAUGUUAUCUGUAUUUGGAUUUACUCCUUGAUCCUUCAUGAUUUGCUGAUUUCUUGUUCA